GGGGGAACACUGCAGAGAAGAUAAAGAGAUGUCUGCAAGACCUUGGCUUAUAUUCCCCCUGCCAUUGCAACCAUCAAAAAGAAAAAAUGGUUCUUUAUUUCUAGUUAUUUUUUUAAAAGAGGGCCAUACAUCUGCCCCAGCAACCUUCUCCCAAGCAGCCCAAGAACUUUAACCAGGAGAGGAAAAACAGGAACACAACGUGCAAUCUCCUCUCAGAAGAAGAGGAGCCAGCAGCUUGAUUGAGAACAAGUCAGAAUAAUUGCAGCCCAAGACAUAAAGAAAUGCCUUCAGUGGCUCCUCUCAUGCCUCUCCUAAGCUGUCAAAGCCACAGGCAGGCAUUGGACACGAGCUGGCCUGGGAGGCAGAA
Pyrgilauda ruficollis (rufous-necked snowfinch) is the source of this 367-nucleotide long non-coding RNA. RefSeq lists it as uncharacterized. The record is from RefSeq and is a predicted model, not a curated record. The transcript has 3 exons. NCBI's taxonomy places the organism in Eukaryota, Metazoa, Chordata, Aves, Passeriformes, Passeridae.